RNAcentral lists this ribosomal RNA (506 nucleotides) under uncultured bacterium. Its description in RNAcentral is "partial 16S ribosomal RNA". It matches the Rfam family "Bacterial small subunit ribosomal RNA", at positions 28 to 523 of the family's 1533-position model. The record is from RNAcentral.
GAUGAACGCUAGCUACAGGCUUAACACAUGCAAGUCGAGGGGUAACGAGAGGAAAGCUUGCUUUCCUUGUCGACGACCGGCGCACGGGUGAGUAACGCGUAUCCAACCUGCCCCCAACUAGGGAAUAACCUUGCGAAAGUAAGACUAAUACCCUAUAAUUUCUUCAGAUGUCAUCUGACGAGGAAUAAAGAUUCAUCGGUUGUGGAUGGGGAUGCUUCUGAUUAGCUUGGUGGCGGGGUAACGGCCUACCAAGGCAACGAUCAGUCGGGGUUCUGAGAGGAAGGUCCCCCACAUUGGAACUGAGACACGGUCCAAACUCCUACGGGAGGCAGCAGUGAGGAAUAUUGGUCAAUGGGCGGAAGCCUGAACCAGCCAAGUAGCGUGCAGGAUGACGGCCCUAUGGGUUGUAAACUGCUUUUAUACAGGAAUAAAGUUAGCCACGUGUGGUUAUUUGUAGGUACUGUAUGAAUAAGGACCGGCUAAUUCCGUGCCAGCCGCCGCCGUAA